CGUGUAGGCGGCUCUUUAAGUCUGGUGUGAAAGCCCGGGCUCAACCCCGGAAGUGCAUCGGAAACUGGCGAACUUGAGUACGGGAGAGGAAAGUGGAAUUCCGAGUGUAGGGUGAAAUCCGUAGAUAUUCGGAGGAACACCAGUGGCGAAGGCGGCUUUCUGGACCGAUACUGACGCUGAGACGCGAAAGCGUGGGGAGCAAACA
RNAcentral lists this ribosomal RNA (205 nucleotides) under uncultured bacterium. Its description in RNAcentral is "partial 16S ribosomal RNA". It matches the Rfam family "Bacterial small subunit ribosomal RNA", at positions 568 to 774 of the family's 1533-position model. The record is from RNAcentral.